This 422-nucleotide ribosomal RNA is filed under the name uncultured bacterium. Its description in RNAcentral is "bacterial SSU rRNA". It matches the Rfam family "Bacterial small subunit ribosomal RNA", at positions 358 to 773 of the family's 1533-position model. The record is from RNAcentral.
CGAAUCAUUCACAAUGGGCGAAAGCCUGAUGGUGCGACGCCGCGUGGGGGACGAAGGUCUUCGGAUUGUAAACCCCUGUCACUAGGGAAGAAAAACUAUACGUUAACAGAUUAUAGUCUGACUUAACCUGGCGAGGAAGCCGUGGCUAACUCUGUGCCAGCAGCCGCGGUAAUACAGAGACUGCAAGCGUUAUUCGGCUUCACUGGGCGUAAAGGGUGCGCAGGCGGUCGUGUGUGUCAGGUGUGAAAUCUCGGAGCUCAACUCCGAAACUGCGCCUGAAACUACAUGACUAGAGCAUUGGAGAGGGUAGCGGAAUUCACGGUGUAGCAGUGAAAUGCUUAGAUAUCGUGAGGAACACCAGAGGCGAAGGCGGCUACCUGGACAAUUGCUGACGCUCAGGCACGAAAGCGUGGGGAGCAAAA